GAACACCGAUAAGUUGAACGCAUAUGGCGCAUCGGACGUUUCAACCCGACCGAUGCACACAUCCUUGAGU
RNAcentral lists this ribosomal RNA (70 nucleotides) under Anopheles subpictus. RNAcentral's name for it is "partial 5.8S ribosomal RNA". Lineage: Eukaryota; Metazoa; Arthropoda; Insecta; Diptera; Culicidae. The record is from RNAcentral. RNAcentral also lists the same sequence under 1 other name.